GUUGGAUGCAUAAAUACAGAGACACGACUUAUGUCAAUGAACAUUCAUAUCAGCAAACAGUCAUAUUCGGGAUAAGGUCACGUAUGGCACUAAGCAGACAGACGACAGAUAUGAUAAACCACAAUCUAGGACGUGGUGAGCAUUUGUGAUUAACAACAUUUACGGAAUCUCAUUUUGAAUCUUUUCUCCUUAUAUCUCUGUUGAUGCAGUUUUUGUAUAAGAAGCACUCUCCUGUAUAUAAGUACGUAUAAUUUGAACAUAAACGAGCAUUGCGUAUCAAUUGACAUGUGUCAACAUCAUACGAUACAGCAGAUGGUAUGUUAUUGCAGAGAAAUAGGUAAUUGAUAAUUGGGGAGUUGACAUCAAUCCGUUUGUUAUAUAUUUUAGUGUAAAGACUUUCAAAUGUGUUAGAUUAAAGGAAAACAUCAAGAUACGAGGUAGUCCUUAUAUUAUCAAUAGUAUCCCUUUAUCUACAUUACAAAUAAAGGACGAUCUUUGCAACCAAUCAUAAGACAUGUUAUAUCGAAAAUCAGAAGAUUACAAAAAA
This 547-nucleotide long non-coding RNA is filed under the name Mytilus galloprovincialis (Mediterranean mussel). The record is from RNAcentral. Lineage: Eukaryota; Metazoa; Mollusca; Bivalvia; Mytilida; Mytilidae.